UGACUGUGUGUGUGAUACUAUAACUGUGUUAUUUUUAAUUUACUUUUAUUCAACAUGGACCUGAAUCUGUUUGUGGACCCACUGAGGCCCUGUCUCCAGACCUUUGUAUCAGAGCAGGACUGAGACCAUCAGGCUCCAUCAGUGAGACUACAACCAGURGAAGMCAGUUCCACCCCACAUCAGAUAAGUGCAGUUGAUGCAGCGAGCAGCAUUCAGCCCAUCCAUGGACCCAGGACAGAUGUCCUCUACAUCCACACCUACAUCUGACAGGCAGGUGGACGAGGAGGUGAUGGAGUUCCUGACCAUCUGAAGAACUGAACCAGCAGCAGGAUGAGGAGACACUGGAACAAAAUCUGUUCAUCAGGGUUUUAAAGCCUUCAUGACAGCUGAAAAAUUCAUUUAAUGCAAAUGUACAGUUUUAAAAUGUCCUGUUUAGAGCUGAGGAAGUCAAACACCAGGCCUUGACAUGUUUUUUAAACUCAGGAUGUUUAAUCUGUUUAUAUUAAAGCUUACCUAGAAAUUUUCAUUUAUUUGACAUUGAUUGAUGGUUUUACUUUAAUAAAUAAAAUUUUAAAUAUUCAACACUUUUGUUUUUACCUAACUAUGAGCUGUGAGUGAUAGAUGAAACAAUGAAUAUAGUA
This is a long non-coding RNA of Austrofundulus limnaeus, 641 nucleotides long. RefSeq lists it as uncharacterized. The record is from RefSeq and is a predicted model, not a curated record. The transcript is spliced from 2 exons. NCBI's taxonomy places the organism in Eukaryota, Metazoa, Chordata, Actinopteri, Cyprinodontiformes, Rivulidae.